UACGUAGGUGGCAAGCGUUGUCCGGAAUAACUGGGCGUAAAGCGCAUGUAGACGGCAUGAUAAGCCAAAUGUGAAAUGUAGGGGCUCAACCCCUGCACUGCGAUUGGAACUGUCAAGCUUGAGUGCAGGAGAGGCAAGUGGAAUUCCCAGUGUAGCAGUGAAAUGCGUAGAGAUUGGGAGGAACACCAGUGGCGAAGGCGAUUUGCUGGACUGCAACUGACGUUGAGAUGCGAAAGCUAGGGGAGCAAACGGGAUUAGAUACCCCGGUAGUCCUAGCCGUAAACGAUGGAUACUAGGUGUAGAGGGUAUCGACCCCUUCUGUGCCGCAGCGAACGCAAUAAGUAUCCCGCCUGGGGAGUACGGUCGCAAGACUGAAACUCAAAGGAAUUGACGGGGGCCCGCACAAGCAGUGGAGCAUGUGGUUUAAUUCGACGCAACCCGAAGAACCUUACCAGGUCUUGACAUUUAUGGAACGAGGUAGAGAUACCUUGGUGCCCUUUCGGGGGAACCAUAAAACAGGUGGUGCAUGGUUGUCGUCAGCUCGUGUCGUGAGAUGUUGGGUUAAGUCCCGCAACGAGCGCAACCCUUGAUAAUAGUUGCCAGCAAGUAGUGUUGGGCACUCUAUUGUGACUGCCGUAGAUAAUACGGAGGAAGGUGGGGAUGACGUCAAAUCAUCAUGCCCUAUAUGACCUGGGCUACACACGUGCUACAAUGGGGUGAACAACGGGAAGCAAGCCAGCGAUGGUAAGCGGACCCCUAAAAACACCUCUCAGUUCAGAUUGCAGGCUGCAACCCGCCUGCAUGAAGUCGGAAUUGCUAGUAAUCGCGGAUCAGCAUGCCGCGGUGAAUACGUUCCCGGGCCUUGUACACACCGCCCGUCACACCACGAAAGUUGGCAACACCCGAAGUCGGUGAGGUA
RNAcentral lists this ribosomal RNA (919 nucleotides) under uncultured bacterium. Its description in RNAcentral is "bacterial SSU rRNA". It matches the Rfam family "Bacterial small subunit ribosomal RNA", at positions 524 to 1437 of the family's 1533-position model. The record is from RNAcentral.